This 497-nucleotide ribosomal RNA is filed under the name uncultured bacterium. RNAcentral describes it as "partial 16S ribosomal RNA". It matches the Rfam family "Bacterial small subunit ribosomal RNA", at positions 28 to 507 of the family's 1533-position model. The record is from RNAcentral.
GAUGAACGCUGGCGGCGUGCCUAAUACAUGCAAGUCGAGCGGACGGACGCUGAUCUUGCGUCUCUGAUGUUAGCGGCGGACGUGUGUAUCACACGUGUAUCACCUACCUAUCAGACUGGGAUCACUUCGGGAAACCGGAGCUAAUACCGGAUAAUAUUUUGAACCGCAGGGUUCAAUGGUGAGAGACGGUCUUGCUGUCUCUACUCGCUGCUUCCGCGCUGCAUUGGCUAGUUGUUAAGGUAACGGGUUACCACGGCAACGAUGCAUAGCCGACCUGCGAGGCGGAUAGGCCACACUGGAACUGAGACACGGUCCAGACGCCUACGGGAGGCAGCAGUAGCGAACCGUCCGCAAUGGGCGAAAGCCUGACGGAGUAAGGCCGCGUGAGUGAUGAAGGUCUUCCGAUCGUAAAAAUGGCUUACGAGUGAAGAACAUAUGUGGAAGUAACUGAGGCCAGCUUGACGGUACCGAAUCAGAAAGCACCGGCUAACUACGUG